AUAUCAUCAGCGGCAUUAUGCUAGCUUACAUCCCUACCCCUCCUGCCCUCACCUGCUGUCCUUUUGUUUUUGGUUUUUUUGCUGCACAUUGAGAGACGACCUCUAUUCUGCAUUUCACCAGGAGUCAGCUGAUGGAUUGUGGGUUCAAGGUGUUAUGAUAAAAUGCAGCAUUCCAGUGCAUCCCAACCAUGCCUUUGCAGUCAAGGUUUCUGACGGAGCUGAGUUUCUCUCUGACAGUCUGCUGAAAGUGUUUGCAAAGUGAUCGGGGGAACAGGGCACAAAGCUAAAGGAUGUAGCUGCCAUGAUGACAUCAAGGAUGACAUUAAUGCUCGGAGUCCCUCAUCAAAGUGCUCCGCAUCUGUGUGAAAGACAAUUGCAACAUCUUGGUGCAGGAGUUCAUGGACUUGACUGAGGCCACUGCACAGAUUGAGAAAACCACAAUGAACAUCUGUCUCCAGAGAUGCGCCAGGCAAU
This is a long non-coding RNA of Astatotilapia calliptera (eastern happy), 474 nucleotides long. The record is from Ensembl. Lineage: Eukaryota; Metazoa; Chordata; Actinopteri; Cichliformes; Cichlidae.